GCUUGUCUCAAAGAUUAAGCCAUGCAUGUCUAAGUAUAAGCAACCUUAUACAGCGAAACUGCGUACAGCUCAUUAUAUCAGCAAUUAUUUAUUUGAAGAUCACCUAUUACAUGGAUAACCGUGGUAAUUCUAGAGCUAAUACAUGCGAAAAGACGGGUCGUAAGGCUCGUUGUAUUUAUUAGAUAAAAAACCAAUGCCCUUCGGGGCUCCUUGGUGAAUCAUAAUAACUUAACGAAUCGCAUGGCCUUGCGCCGGCGAUGGUUCAUUCAAAUUUCUGCCCUAUCAACUUUCGAUGGUAGGAUAGUGGCCUACCAUGGUAUCAACGGGUAACGGGGAAUUAGGGUUCGACUCCGGAGAGGGAGCCUGAGAAACGGCUACCACAUCCAAGGAAGGCAGCAGG
This 400-nucleotide ribosomal RNA is filed under the name uncultured Dothideomycetes. RNAcentral describes it as "partial small subunit ribosomal RNA". It matches the Rfam family "Eukaryotic small subunit ribosomal RNA", at positions 30 to 432 of the family's 1831-position model. Lineage: Eukaryota; Fungi; Ascomycota; Dothideomycetes. The record is from RNAcentral.